GGGGGCUGUGGGAAGCAGGACCUGGUCCUGAUGGGGCUGGCCCUGUUUAGGGUCUUGCCUGCCUGCUGCCAUUGAUGAAUGAGGGCAUGGGAAGAGUCCUGAUGCUUUCUGAAGAGAAGCAGGGACCAGGGUUCCAGAGGCCGCUGCACAAGUGCCAAUGAGAAGCUGACUCGAGGGAGAUGAAGGCCAUGACACUAAGCCCUAAACACUCCAGAGGCCAGUUGGAGCUCUUUUCCCUUGUUGUCCCCAUGCUGCCUGGCACUAAAUGCUGCAUCUUCUCAGGAGGUCUCUAGUACUCUGGGCCCUGACCAGCCCUUCCCAGGGAGUGCCAGAGUCUACUUGAUCGAGUUUGGCCCCCACGGAAUCUUUGGCUUCAUCAUCUCCAGUGUGGACAUGGUUGGCUCCUUCCUCCAAGACCGUUCAGCUAGUCACUACCCUGUGUACCAGAGGCAGCAUCUGCUCAAUAGCAACCCCCACUGGGACUUUGGAGCCUUCAGAAGACUCUGCCACCUGGUACAAGAGACACAGUUCAACCUCUCAAGGUUUGCCCACCGGUUCCUAGAUCCAGGCACAUAUGUAUUUCGUGACAAUGGGCAGUCUGAGAGCAUUGCUGUGGUGCAUGUGCAGGAAGAGGGGGCAGUCUGCAGCCCUGGUCUGGCCCCCAUUCAACCCUCCUCCCCAUAUCAACUUGGCAGGCUUGGCAUCCUCCGGCGAGAGCUGCUUCUGGCCCCAGAUUGGGCAGCAAUCACCGGUAUUAACCUGGAUAGGGCAGCCAGGACUGAGGGUCUGGAGGGCCUCUGUGUAGCAGUGCCACAGGUAUGAGUCAGCCCUUCUGAAGUCUGGGCAUAGCCCCAAGGAAGACAGUUAAGUACAAUGACAUAAGCAUGGUGGAACACAUCCUUGAACAGGUCAUCAUUUGCAGGGAAAGAAACCUGGAUUGCUUCCAUUUGGCGUGGCUUAUCUUCCCUCCCCACCCUUUGGCCGAUAGUCAGCCAUCUGCAUUGAGGCAGAGUCCUGAGAUAAGGAGAAACUCAGCCCUGCCCAGCAGUAGAGAGGAUGCUACCCUGCCAUGUCUGAGGCUUCAAGGAAGGACUUAUGUAGGCUUGGUAGCACAACUCACCCAUGCUCAUACACACCCACUGUCACAGUUACACACUCGUGGCAGGAGGGGCUGUGGGUGAGGGAAGAGCUUCCCAGUGAGAGACCAAAUUAUUGCAAAAGGGAACUCUGAGGAGUUAGAGCUCAAGAGAGCAGAAGGAGGCCAGAGCCUCAGAAGCAAAUGCAAAAUUCCCCUCUCCAGGAUCCCAGGAAGGCUGGGGAGGUUCUAGGAGCCCA
This 1335-nucleotide long non-coding RNA is filed under the name Fukomys damarensis (Damara mole-rat). Its description in RNAcentral is "lncRNA (ENSFDAG00000032876.1)". Lineage: Eukaryota; Metazoa; Chordata; Mammalia; Rodentia; Bathyergidae. The record is from RNAcentral.